AUGCAAGUCGAGGGGUAACGGAAGUAGCUUGCUACUAGACGACGACCGGCGCACAGGUGAGUAACGCGUAUGUAAUCUGCCUUGUACAGAGGGAUAGCCCAGAGAAAUUUGGAUUAAUACCUCAUAGUAUUACCGAAUCGCAUGAUUUGGUAAUUAAAGCUCCGGCGGUACAAGAUGAACAUGCGUGACAUUAGCUAGUUGGUAAGGUAACGGCUUACCAAGGCUACGAUGUCUAGGGGUUCUGAGAGGAUGAUCCCCCACACUGGUACUGAGACACGGACCAGACUCCUACGGGAGGCAGCAGUGAGGAAUAUUGGUCAAUGGACGCAAGUCUGAACCAGCCAUCCCGCGUGAAGGAUGACUGCCCUAUGGGUUGUAAACUUCUUUUAUAUGCAAAUAAACCUACUUUCGUGAAAGUAGCUGAAGGUAGCAUAUGAAUAAACACCGGCUAACUCCGUGCCAGCAGCCGCGGUAAUACGGAGGGUGUAAGCGUUAUCCGGAUUUAUUGGGUUUAAAGGGUACGUAGGCGGUAAUAUAAGUCAGUGGUGAAAUCCUGCAGCUCAACUGUAGAACUGCCAUUGAAACUGUA
RNAcentral lists this ribosomal RNA (589 nucleotides) under uncultured bacterium. RNAcentral's name for it is "bacterial SSU rRNA". It matches the Rfam family "Bacterial small subunit ribosomal RNA", at positions 55 to 637 of the family's 1533-position model. The record is from RNAcentral.